GAACGACUCUCGGCAACGGAUAUCUCGGCUCUCGCAUCGAUGAAGAACGUAGCGAAAUGCGAUACUUGGUGUGAAUUGCAGAAUCCCGUGAACCAUCGAGUCUUUGAACGCAAGUUGCGCCCGAAGCCGUUAGGCCGAGGGCACGUCUGCAUGGGCG
Molecule: ribosomal RNA, 157 nt
Filed under: Codonopsis pilosula
Lineage: Eukaryota; Viridiplantae; Streptophyta; Magnoliopsida; Asterales; Campanulaceae
Description: 5.8S ribosomal RNA
Rfam family: 5.8S ribosomal RNA
About the family: 5.8S ribosomal RNA (5.8S rRNA) is a component of the large subunit of the eukaryotic ribosome. It is transcribed by RNA polymerase I as part of the 45S precursor that also contains 18S and 28S rRNA.
Source: RNAcentral